Molecule: non-coding RNA, 975 nt
Filed under: Pongo abelii (Sumatran orangutan)
Lineage: Eukaryota; Metazoa; Chordata; Mammalia; Primates; Hominidae
Source: RNAcentral
AUCUUCCCUCUGUCUUGUUCCUAAGCGCACAGGGCUCCUCCGGCCCCGCCGAGCUGCGCCCGCUGCCUUCACACCCCGGACAUCCGCGCCACACGGACCCAGACCCCAGGAGGCCUCACCCCAGAGCAAGAGAAAGACCACCAACAUGGACAUGAUGGUCGCGCUCACUCCGGUGCAGUGAGUAUCUGGGUGCUGGAUCCUGGAUCCUGUUCUAGAAGGAGACGCUGAGUUCUCCGCACUCUACCUGGAGCUGCUGAGGUCAAGUGGAGAGUGCCAGGGCUGCAGCCCAGCGAGCCCCUCCCUGUCACACCACACUGCACAUGUGACACCAAAGGCGGGGUUCACCUCUUUUCAGACUUUCUGUGGUUGCCCUCACAUGGGCUGUCUGGAGGUGCACCUCACUCUUCUUGAGGACCAUGGUUCCUUCUCCAUCACUGGUUCAUUCUGUAUGGUGUGACCCACCAUGGCUCUGGAGUCGGAUUUCCACCCAGGUCAUUCAGCUGAGACCUGCGCUUCCCAGGCCUACCCGUGACAUGUGAUCAGUUACCUGAGCUGCUGGUGGUCACUCAUGUGGCUGUAGCCUGCUGCCUGGAGGCCAGGCCUCCCGCUUCCCCUGCCUCCCCCUCUCCUCACCACAGCCUGUUGGGAUGGAACAGGACAGGGGUGAGACCGUGGUGCUUUCACACUCAGCCUCCAUGGACAUCUUGUCAUUCCCACCCCGGGAGGUCUGGUCCCCACCCUGGGUGUCCCAGCCUAGCUCUGCUACGACUGUGAGGGCCCAGGGCAACCGCCUAGCCCUCAUCUGCCUCCUGCACUGCAUCCUCCCCACUCAUUCAUUCCACAGGCAUUUAUUGAGCAUCUACUGUGUGCCAGAUGCAAAGAAGACAGUGGGAUAACUGCGCAAGGAGCAUUCCGGGCAGAGGGAGCAGCCAGUGCAAAGAUGGGAGAUGGGGUUUCAGUGAGAAGGAGCAGAGA